UACGUAGGCAGCAAGCGUUGUUCGGAGUUACUGGGCGUAAAGGGUGCGUAGGCGGUUGUUUAAGUUUGGUGUGAAAUCUCCCGGCUCAACUGGGGGGGUGCGCCGAAUACUGAAUGACUAGAGUGCGGGAGAGGAGAGUGGAAUUCCUGGUGUAGCGGUGAAAUGCGUAGAUAUCAGGAGGAACACCGGUGGUGUAGACGGCUCUCUGGACCGUAACUGACGCUGAGGCACGAAAGCGUGGGUAGCAAACAGG
Molecule: ribosomal RNA, 253 nt
Filed under: uncultured bacterium
Lineage: Bacteria
Description: partial 16S ribosomal RNA
Rfam family: Bacterial small subunit ribosomal RNA
Source: RNAcentral